AUGAUUUAAGCAACACUAAGCGGCCGAGUUUCGUAGCGUACGACUCUCACGCGUCUGCGUUUACGCUUCUCGAAGCCAGCGGCGAAGGAAGCGUUCGAAGAAAACAUGCCCGCGGUAUACCGAUCCUCUCGUUUUCUGCAAACCAUCGGCAUCAUCAUAUGGCUUUUGGAAAUUCUAGCAUGUGGACUUUUGAAGACUUAUAUUUACAUUUACAUUAAUAUUUUACAUCAUACGUUUGUCAUAUCCGACUUCACUUUAAAGGGUUCAGACCCUGCUAAGGUAACUUUGCUGCUAUACUAUUGUAUCCUAGUUAUUAUUAUAAUAGUGUCUUGAACGUAGGGGAAGUCGUCACGACAGCGACGAAGAAAGCCUUGAAGCGAUAAGGGUUGGCGACUCGGUGACGACAAGAAGAAAAAUUCGUGAGGGUGGCCCUCGAGGGGAUGUCCGCAGGAUUUCGCCCAGCUGGCAAAGCGAGGCCAAGCCGACACUGGUAUUGAUUACGAAGGAAGACCGCACCCUCUGCCACCCUUUUGCUCGGGCCUCGACGUAACGGGGUUGGCCAACGGCAAACGCUGCGAUACACUGCAUCGAGAGAGAAAUCCUGCGCAGUCGUCGCUGAAUCUCUGCGACUGCCCCUCUAUUCAGACUCCAGACGAUCAAUUCUCGCACCCUCAUGCCAAGGAAAUUCACUUCUUUUGUCUGCAUUUUAAGAUACCUUUCUUUUCAUACUUUGCUGAAGACAUUCUAUGCCCAUAAAUUAACGUUGCAGUAAAAAAUACUUCGUCUUAAAGAAAGCUAUUGUAGAAGAAAUAUGAGUACAAAAUGUUAGCAACAAUUCUUGAAGGUUGAAGCGGUACGAAGUAUAUGCAAAUAUGAUUUGUGUAGCAGCAUAAAUAUGAGAAGAGAUGAUGUUUCAUUGCAGCUUUCAAAAUGGAGUAAAAGCCAUUCCGCAUUGCCAAAUUUAGGGAUGAACCAACCCCUCGGAGGGAUGCUGCUCCAAUCAGAGCCACGUUCCCCUAUGGGGCAUCUCGCGAAUCAGAUCUGCGCAGCAUCCCUUCGGACCAACCCCUGCAAGAAAAAUGGCGGACACCUAUGCCUUCGAAUUAAUUCGUACAUCGAUGCACAUCGACAGGAACUAAUUUGUCGGAAAGGGGAAAGGCCAAUUACUGGAAUAUCGAGACCUUCGAGACACGGUGGUUGGCGAUAUUCGUGGUUGAUGAUCUCGAAUAUAUUAUCGAGGAUGAAGAGAGAGUCCCUCUCUGUUUAUAAGCAUCGUUGAUUUCAGAUACGAGGCUGCAGCGUUCCAGAAGCCUCGAGCCUCUUUCGCGGUGGCUGGUUUGGACUCGCCCAACCGGUAGUGUGGUCGAGGAACCAGUGAACGUCCUCCUUUUUGCCCCUUUUUUCGACCCGUUUUCAUUGACAUGAGAUAUGAACGGUUCUAAGAAAUUAAUAUCGCCGAUACGCGAUGCACGAUCGCUUUAGCCAUCGAGAGCAACUGGAAUUCGCCGAUUAAUUUCGACGAUUGUAGCUGAUUGCUAUUAAGUGAAUUUGGUGGAUGCACUUUUGUAUUACUGCAGUAGACACUUUGCAAAAUUUAGAGAAGCUUAGACUUGUGGAUAUCUCAAGAAUACACCUUAACUGGAACUUAACCUAACCUGACUUUGAGGAACUUAAUGCAGUACCUUAGAACUGGAACUUAACCUAACAUAACUUUGGAGAACUUAAUGCAGUACCUCAGAACUGGAACUUAAUCUAACUUAACUUUCAGGAACUUAAUGCAGUACCUUAGAACUGGAACUUAACCUAAUAUAACUUUCAGGAACUUAAUGCAGUACCUUAGAAUUGGAACUUAACCUAACAUAACUUUGGAGAACUUAAUACAGUACCUCAGAACUGGAACUUAAUCUAACUUAACUUUGAGGAACUUCAUACAGCACCUUAGAACUGUAACUUAACCUAACCUAACUUUGGAGAACUUAAUGCAGUACCUUAGAACUGGAACUUAACCUAAUAUAACUUUCAGGAACUUAAUGCAGUACCUUAGAACUGGAACUUAACCUAAUAUAACUUUCAGGAACUUAAUGCAGUACCUUAGAAUUGGAACUUAACCUAACAUAACUUUGAGGAACUUAAUGCAGUACCUUAGAAUUGGAACUUAACCUAACAUAACUUUGAGGAACUUAAUGCAGUACCUUAGAACUGGAACUUAAUCUAACCUAACUUUGAGGAACUUCAUACAGCACCUUAGAACUGUAACUUAACCUAACCUAACUUUGGAGAACUUAAUGCAGUACCUUAGAACUGGAACUUAACCUAACAUAACUUUGAGGAACUUAAUGCAGCACCUUAGAACUGUAACUUAACCUAACCUAACUUUGGAGAACUUAAUGCAGUACCUUAGAACUGUAACUUAACCUAACCUAACCUUAAGGAACUUAAUGCAGUACCUCACAGCUUAACCUAACCUACAGCUAGCAUCCACAUUAAGAGUUGAGUAUAGAGAAACCUUAACUAAGCUUCAGCCAAGACUUAAAUUGAAAGUAUACCUAAACCCAGCUAAGUGCAUAGGAUUGGCACUUCUUGAAGGAGCUGUAGCAGUUCGUAGAAACAUUCGUUGGGCUACCUACACGAACAGGCCCCGAGGGACCGAUCGGUCUGGCCAUAUUUGUCCACGGAGGCCACGAGAAGGCUGACGUCACCAAGGGUCGCGUUCUCCCGCAGACGUACUUGUCCUAGACGUGUUUCGUCUAUGGAUCUCUCGGUCACCAGGCCAUUUUCAAUCUUUACUUGAUUUUAGUGGGAAUGUAGCUGUUCCUUAACUGGUCACAAUGACUCAAUAGAGCACAAGGCUGACCUUAUUCGAGAGACGUUCUUUUAAUAAUUAAAAUAUAAAUACGGUGGUUGGAUUGUUUAAGGGUAAGUAAAUGUUGAUGGAUAAUAUUUUAAGAUUGUUCUAAGUACUUGUUUAAAGUUUUAGAUCGAUGAGCUCUGAACAAGGUCGAUGACAGGAAAAUCGAAUGGCAGACCGAACGGUAUUUCGAGGGAACGAACCUCGACGCGAGGAACUUCUCGCCGACUUCCGGUUGCUUGCAAUCAAGUUACAGAGACGUGACCGGCCGAUUAAAUCUACGCUAACGUCUGUCUACGCUUACGUGUCCAUCUCUAAAUAGCCACAUUGUACUCUCUCGAUUCACAAGUGUAAAACGUUAGAAAGUCAAUUUCAUGUUAUUUUAACAUAUUCUAGCAAAUAACAGUGGUAUGUUACAGGUGCGGAAUGAAAGAAUGAAGGAAAUGUACGACUAGGUACCUGGGAAUGCGAAGGAAAAACACUUAGGAAUGUUCUUGGAAUGGCAGAGGAGGAUAUCGCCAAAAUACAAUCAAAGGAACAAUCAUUUCCAACAGCUCAUCAAAUAAUACUUUGAGAAACGGUUAAAUGCCUACUGGGAAGCAUAGGUCACUCGGAACGUUAGCUAGUUGACCCUCUUCAAAAAUAGAGGGUUGUUUCGUAACGGCAGCCAGUCAGAAUGACUAAUAUUCCCAAGAAUCAUCGAAAGCGUUCUUCACCUGGCUUUCACGAAUGCGAGACCUAACGAAUCGAUUCGUUAGACACGGCUAAGAGUAAACAAGCCCGUAUAACUCGUAUACAUAAUUUGAUCGGUGCCCACAUUAAUAUUAAUGAUAUCGUUUCCUCCCCGCUCUUCACUUUUGUUUUCCUACUCUCUCUACUCGCCUUUCUCUCUUCCUCAUUUUUCACUUCUUCGUCAAAACAUUAUCGCCAGUUGCCAGGCGCGUGAAUGUAAAUAGGAAACGCGAGGACAAAGAAAAUGGAAAUCUUCGACAGUCGCGAAUAUAAUAAGACCAUAUUCUGUUUUUGCAAUGUAACGCAGCCUCGUCGCGACUGCAAAUGGUAAUUGGACUCGAAUGGCCGCGUUUCAAUGCACGACGAGGUUACGCGACACCUUACCAAAGGUCAAGAGGUUCUCUAUGAACCAACACCGUUUCUUUGUACCAUUUCUGUCGUCACUCUUUUCAAAGCCUUGUUGAAAUUAUUAGUCUAGGCUCACAUGCUCCAUAGCAUUUUCUAAAUUAUGCUAUAUAUUCUAUAUACAUACUGUAAUCCACUGUAAAAACUUUGUAUUUGCAAUAUAUAUUGCUCACAAGGUGGAAUCAGACAUGAACAUUCUUAGGCAUCACUAAUCUUGCAGGGUACCAAGGUAUAACUUUAGCAAGGCAUAAGGUAUAUCUUCAGGUACAUUCCUAUCUACCUAUGUACCUAUGUUUCAUUUUGUACAUGUCACCACCUAUGUGUAUAUUUCAGAAUAUCCACUAUACACAACUUUGUAUUUGGAAGGUGCCUACAUGUUGCUCACAAGGUGGAAUCAGACAUCAACAUUCUUAGGCAUCACUAAUCUUGCAGGGUACCAAGGUAUAACUUUAGCAAGGUAUAAGGUAUAUCUUUCAGGUAUAUUCCUAUCUACCUAUGUAUAUUUCAUUUUGUACAUGUCACUGUCUACAUGUAUAUUUCAGACUAUCCACUAAUCAUAAGUUCCAAUUGGACUGUCUAGCUGUACAAUGAUAGUCGUGGAAUUUUUGCAAAGCAAUUUCUUGCGGGGACACUGUUCUUGCACAGCAAAUGGACCAGUUAGAUCGGAGGCAAUCUUCUGGAACCUGUUGCGCCAUUGCUUCCUGAGCGCUGAUUAAUAGGACACCUGAACCAUAUAUCAUACAUAUGAACUUGUUUUCUUCUCGUAAGAAACUCAUGCAAAUUCUAUCAGGGCGAUAAAAAUUACACGCGUAUUACAAGUUGAGUAUUUUUUUGCUGUAACGCGUCAGAGCGACAAGUAACGGUAACGAUAAAGAAUUUUCUAUUUCGAAUCGGAUUACAGGGGAGCAAUUCAUGAGGCGUUAAAAGGUCAUUCCCGAAUCAUCUGUACCCUUCGUAAUGACCCAGAUACGACGUUUUAAGCGUAGCACAGUUUAGCGCCGGUAAGUGUACAUAAAUCACACGGAAGACAACGAGCAGGAAAUGAACGCAUGCCAGACAACAUUGAUUUACAGACGGGCAGUUCGGGAAAGUAUGAACGCUGUGUAGAACAAUUUGUUUGUUGUUUAACAAUUAACUGAAUGAGUAGAUUAAACAAACGUGAAGGUCGUCGAUUCAUCAGUGACGAAGAAAUUGAGAAAUCGUAACGCCAUACACAGUGAAUUCGAGCUAUCGCACGAUCUAUGUACAACUGGGC
Molecule: unclassified non-coding RNA, 5240 nt
Organism: Megachile rotundata (alfalfa leafcutting bee)
Lineage: Eukaryota; Metazoa; Arthropoda; Insecta; Hymenoptera; Megachilidae
Source: RefSeq, a predicted model, not a curated record